This 1525-nucleotide small RNA is filed under the name Acaulospora viridis. Its description in RNAcentral is "eukaryotic LSU rRNA". The stretch from base 730 to 1525 matches the Rfam family "Eukaryotic large subunit ribosomal RNA", at positions 1 to 694 of the family's 3401-position model. Lineage: Eukaryota; Fungi; Glomeromycota; Glomeromycetes; Diversisporales; Acaulosporaceae. The record is from RNAcentral.
UUCGCUCUUCAACGAGGAAUCCCUAGUAAGCGUGAGUCAUCAGCUCACGUUGAUUACGUCCCUGCCCUUUGUACACACCGCCCGUCGCUACUACCGAUUGAAUGGCUUAGUGAGACCUUCGGAUCGGGAUUUGGGAUCGGCAACGUUCCCUCUUUUCUGAGAAGUUUGUCAAACUUGGUCAUUUAGGGGAAGUAAAAGUCGUAACAAGGUUUCCGUAGGUGAACCUGCGGAAGGAUCAUUAGAAUAUUACGGGAAUUUAAUUAAUUUAUUUAUUUAUUUCCCUGAUGUCUUAUUCAAAAAAUUUUCAGAUCUUAUCUUAAUCUUUAAAAAAAAAAACAAUUAUAUUAAGACAACUUUUAACAACGGAUCUCUUGGCUCUUGCAUCGAUGAAGAACGCAGCGAAAUGCGAUAAGUAAUGUGAAUUGCAGAAUUCCGUGAAUCAUCAAAUCUUUGAACGCAAAUUGCACUCCUUGGUAUUCCGAGGAGUAUGCUUGCUUGAGGGUUGUUUCACCAAAAAUCGUGAAAAAAAACAUUUCACGGAUCUGGGUUUUUCCAAAGUUUUGAAUUUUGGUGACCUAAAAUUUAUCAUAACAAUAUUUAGGUAUUAUAUUGGAAAUGUUCUAUCUUACAUGUUUUUGUAAGUUCAUUAAUAAUUAUUACCAAUUGUUACGUCGUGUUAUUCAUCUAGUGUUUUUUAAUUAGGUGAAAUAAUUCAAUCUAUUUUAAUUUCAACCUCAAGUCAAGUAAGAAUACCCGCUGAACUUAAGCAUAUCAAUAAGCGGAGGAAAAGAAACUAACAAGGAUUCCCUUAGUAACGGCGAGUGAACCGGGAAGAGCUCAAAUUUAAAAUCGCCUUGGGUUUUACCUGGGCGAGUUGUAAUUUGAAGAAAGUGUUUGGACAUCUGGGUUUGAUCUAAAUCCUUUGGGAUGGGGUAUCAUAGAGGGUGAGAAUCCCGUUCAUGACUAAACCUCGGAUGUCACUUAAUUCACUUUCCAAGAGUCGAGUUGUUUGGGAUUGCAGCUCAAAAUGGGUGGUAAAUUUCACCUAAGGCUAAAUAUGUGCAAGAGACCGAUAGCGAACAAGUACCGUGAGGGAAAGAUGAAAAGAACUUUGAAAAGAGAGUUAAAUAAUACGUGAAAUUGUUGAAAGGGAAACGAUUAAAGUCAGUCAUGCUAGUAAGGAAUCAACAUGGUGGUUUUUUCUGCCGUGUGCACUUUCUUGCCUUGCAGGUUAGCAUCAAUUUUGGUUGUCAUCAAAGAACUAGGGAAAUGUGUCUUCUCUUCGGAGAAGUGUUUAUAGACCUUGGUAGAUGUGGCGACUGGGAUUGAGGAUUGCAGUGAAUGCCUUUUGGCUAGUCACCUGGCUUCUGACGGUCACCCCGCUUUCGAUAGCUUGCUGACGAUCGUGGGACUCGUCAGUCUAGAUGUUAGAGUGAUCUUAAAUUCACUAAGGAUGCUGACGUAAUGGCUUUAAACGACCCGUCUUGAAACACGGACCAAGGAGUCUAACAUGUGUGCGAGUGUU